AGCCGCAGAAGGGUAACUGUUGGAUUUAUUCUUUAUAUGUGAUUGGUCCAAAUUAAUUCAAUUAAAUAUAAUUAAUAUUACAAGGCCCAUAUUAAAUGCUAGAGUUCAAAAUUGUUAAUCCCACGUAAGAUGUUGAGAAGAUCCUAACUAAAUUAUUAGGUGAGCUUCAUGUAAACCAUCUGUGAAGUUGGAAAAGAAGAUUGGCCAGCCACAAGCUCGCACACUUACUCGUACAUGAGGUGCGAUGCGAUGUGACGUGUUGCGGUCUAGUGAACAUUUUAAUAACUGUCAUUGCUGCACCGUGAGCAUCCAUGUUCGUCCCCCUUUAACCCCUGCGCGCCUAUAUAAGAGGUAUAACUCCUCCGGCGAUGACCUGUAACCCUGCCCCCGGAUAUAUAAAGCAAGGCAAAGACCCCUCCAAAGCAACUCAAUACACCCAACGCAUUACAAUCUAUACAGGACGUAGGGUAUUAUGCUACUUAGUGGCACAAACCUAUCUUAACUUUGUGUCUAUGUUUACCUUCGAGUUCCUGAUCUCAGCGAAACCCCAUCAACCAAUCCACUACCUUAGGAUAUCCCUCAGUAGGAGAGUCAGGUACCAUGGAGACCUUGUAUGAGGUGUCAUCACCGUAUGGUGGCCCACCAUACUCAACAAGGUUCCCAUCCAAAUCGAAGGAGUAGUUGGAAGGCAGUAAAGAAGCAAUCGAACAAAAAGCCAUGGUAGUUGGUUUAGUUUUCUGGAGGAAGAAAGAGUGGAGGCAAUGGAUCGGAGGGGAUGGUUAAUUACCAGGAGGAGGAUAGUCGUAUAUAAUGGCGCGCGGUUGCCAAGGGAAGGCCGGAAGGGUCACAUUGGUAGUCAGGGGAGAAUGGAAAGAGACACGUCGAUUGCUAAUAAUGUAAUGGUCUUUUGCAAGUGAUUGAAUAACAUUAAAAUCUUAGUGAAUUUCGGUUGAUGGAGAGAUAACUUCGAUAUGACAAAGCAGAAUUUGAAACUAGUACUAGAACAUGGAGAGAUAACUUCCAUAUGACACGAAAACAAAAGAAACUCCUUGAUGGAAACUACACUAACUACAUAGGAGUACAUCCAACAAAUAUGAGUAGUAGAACCUGGAGAGAUAAUAGUUCCAAUGAAAUCUAAAGUUACUAUUUAAUAGCAUUGCAAAGAUAAAAGAUGUACAUCUCCAUAGGGUCGCCCAAGGUCUCCCAGUCACCGACGUCGAAGAUGUUGAAGCGACUCACGCGAUUGAAGAUGACAACCUCGUUCCACCACUGCCAUGUGCGACCGUGAAGGGGUCAACACCCUAGGAGGAUGGAAGC
Molecule: long non-coding RNA, 1317 nt
Filed under: Setaria viridis
Lineage: Eukaryota; Viridiplantae; Streptophyta; Magnoliopsida; Poales; Poaceae
Description: long non-coding RNA (SVIR_LNC006488)
Source: RNAcentral